This is a long non-coding RNA of Poecile atricapillus (Black-capped chickadee), 1318 nucleotides long. RefSeq lists it as uncharacterized. NCBI's taxonomy places the organism in Eukaryota, Metazoa, Chordata, Aves, Passeriformes, Paridae. The transcript has 3 exons. The record is from RefSeq and is a predicted model, not a curated record.
UCCGGGAAGGGACUUGGGGGACACUUUUGUGUCCGAGCUGUGGCUGGAGGAGCUCGGGGGGAACGUGUACGGCUCGGGAGCAAUUGGGGAGAGCCUGGGGAGCUCUAAGCGGGCUCCUUACGGCGCGGGCAUGGCACGCCCUUAUGUCAUCCUCCUCCUCAGGGCCGGGGACGCCAUUUUGGGGAGCAGUGGCGGUGAUCUCCCGACGGGACAGGGACAUGACAGCAAAGGCUGAAGAGCUCAAGAAAGAAGAGGCCUGUGGAAAAGUAAAAUUCAUCAGCAACCUCCAAGUGGCUGAGGAUCCAUCCUCGUGAGAGCAGGAAUGGCCAGCAAUGGGCACAGCUUUGUGGCUGCCCCAGCUUUGGGAUGGGCCCUGGGCCUGGAGCAGGAGCAGCUCUUGAGGGCCCCAAGGCCGGGGCUGUGGUGCUGGCCUGGGCAGAUGGGAUGGCAGGAGGGGCUGCAGAGCUGCCAGGAUCUCCUGGAGAGGGGAGCAGGGCACCCAGGGAGCCUCCUUUUCCUUUGGCCAGGCACUUUCCCCCAUGGCUGGGGCUGAGGCCUCUCUGAGCUGCAGCUGCUGCUGUGCCCUGCAGAGGGGCUGAGGCCGUGCGGCAGUGCCCAGAGCAGCCUGCCCUGAGCAGAGCUGUGGGGCCAGAGCCGGCUGGGCUGUGCUGGGGAGAGGCCCUGGCUGCUGCCGAGAGCUCAGGGCAGCUGGGACAGCUUGGAGGGAGCUGGGCUGGGCUCAGAGAGCCUGCCAGAGAAACCAGCAGUGUCCAUCUCAGCCUGGGUGAGCGUGCAGGGACAGGACUCAGCCCAGGCCUUGUGGGGCAGGGCCAGCGCCUACAGGGCAAGGGAUUGAAAACAGGCAAGUGGCCGAGAGAGGAGGCUGCUCUGUGCCCUUGGUGGCAUGAGCAGGGCAGGGAGGGGGCCCAGGACAUUUGUCACCACCAGGCUCUGUCCCCAGGUGCUGCCAGCCCUGGCUGCUGAGCCCAGGUUUGGCCUGGGCUGAGUUUGGCUGUGGCCCAGCUCCAUCCUCCUGCAGGGCUCAGGGCCUGUUGCUGGCCAUGGCCAGCCCUGCCCGGCCUCUGUGCUGGCCCAGAGCCCGGCAGAGCCCGGGGCAGGGCUGUGUGUGCAGGCCCACAGGUGCCACGGGCUCUGCAGGAGCUGGGAGAGGCUGCCCAGCAGGGAGGCCAUGGGGCACAGAGCCCCAGGGCUGCUGUGGGCACCACGGCACAGGGGCCGUGCCCACCCGCAAUGCUCCUGCCCUGGGCUGGGCCUGCCCAGGGGCUGGGGCACCAUGGCUGGGCCAGCGGGGCACAAA